RNAcentral lists this ribosomal RNA (1471 nucleotides) under metagenome. RNAcentral's name for it is "bacterial SSU rRNA". It matches the Rfam family "Bacterial small subunit ribosomal RNA". The record is from RNAcentral.
AGAGUUUGAUCCUGGCUCAGAUUGAACGCUGGCGGCAUGGCUAAAGCAUGCAAGUCGAACGAGAAAUCCACCUUCGGGUGGAGAGUAAAGUGGCGAACGGGCGAGUAAUGCGUUUCUAACGUACCUCAAGGCCAGGGAUAGCUCGGGGAAACCCGGGGUAAUACCUGAUGACCCCAUCGGAUCGCAUGUUCUGAUGGGCAAAGGCUUGCUACCUUGGGAUCGGGAAACGUCCUAUCAGGUUGUUGGUGGGGUAACGGCCUACCAAGCCUCAGACGGGUAGCGGGUGUGAGAGCACGACCCGCCGCAUCGGGACUGAGACACUGCCCGGACUCCUACGGGAGGCUGCAGCAACGGAUCUUCCGCAAUGCGCGAAAGCGUGACGGAGCAAUGCCGCGUGCAGGAUGAAGCCCCUCGGGGUGUAAACUGCUGUCAGGGUUUAGGAAUACUGACCAAACCCAAAGGAAGGGCCGGCUAACUUCGUGCCAGCAGCCGCGGUAAUACGAAGGGCCCAAGCGUUAAUCGGAUUCACUGGGCUUAAAGCGUGCGCAGGCGGACACGUCAGUGUCUUGUGAAAUCCCACGGCUCAACCGUGGAACUGCAGGGCAUACUGCGUGUCUUGAGGCGGGUAGGGGCUGCCGGAACUCUAGGUGUAGCGGUGAAAUGCGUAGAUAUCUAGAGGAACGCCAAAGGCGAAGGCAGGCAGCUGGGCCCGUUCUGACGCUCAGGCACGAAAGCGUGGGGAGCGAACAGGAUUAGAUACCCUGGUAGUCCACGCCGUAAACGAUGCACACUAGGUCCGGGAGGUCCUGACACCAUCCGGGCCGAAGCAAAAGUACUAAGUGUGCCGCCUGGGGAGUACGGUCGCAAGGCUGAAACUCAAAGGAAUUGACGGGGGCUCACACAAGCGGUGGAGCAUGUGGCUUAAUUCGAGCAACGCGAAGAACCUUAUCCUGGGCUUGACAUGCAUGGAUUAGCUACUGGAAACAGUAGUGACGCGGCUUGCCGUGGAACUUGCACAGGUGCUGCAUGGCUGUCGUCAGCUCGUGCUGUGAGGUGUUGGGUUAAGUCCCUUAACGAGCGAAACCCCUGCCGUUAGUUGCUAACAGGUUAUGCUGAGGACUCUAGCGGGACUGCCGGUGUCAAACCGGAGGAAGGUGGGGAUGACGUCAAGUCCUCAUGGCCUUUAUGCCCAGGGCUGCGCACGUGCUACAAUGGCGCGUACAAAGCGAAGCGAUGCCGCGAGGCGGAGCAAAUCGCAUAAAGCGCGCCCCAGUUCAGAUCGCAGUCUGCAACUCGACUGCGUGAAGGUGGAAUCGCUAGUAAUCGCGUAUCAGCAAUGACGCGGUGAAUACGUUCCUGAGCCUUGUACACACCGCCCGUCAAGUCAUGGAAGCUGGGAGCACCCGAAGUCGCACUAAUUCAAGUGUGCCGACGGUGAACUUGGUGACUGGGACUAAGUCGGAACAAGGUA